CCUACGGGUGGCAGCAGUGGGGAAUAUUGCACAAUGGGGGGAACCCUGAUGCAGCGACGCCGCGUGAGUGAAGAAGUUCUUCGGUAUGUAAAGCUCUAUUAGCAGGGAAGAAAAUGCCGGUACCUGACUAAGAAGCUCCGGCUAACUACGUGCCAGCAGCCGCGGUAAUACGUAGGGGGCAAGCGUUAUCCGGAUUUACUGGGGGUAAAGGGAGCGUAGACGGCGCUGCAAGUCCGGAGGGAAAGCCCAUGGCUGAACCAUGGUACGGCUCUGGAAACUGGGGAGCUUGAGUGCAGGAGAGGAAGGCGGAAUGCCAGGUGUAGCGGUGAAAUGCGUAGAUAUUAGGAGGAACACCGGCGGCGAAGGCGGCCUGCUGGACCGUAACUGACGUUGAGGCGCGAAAGCGUGGGGAGCAAACAGGAUUAGAUACCCGGGUAGUC
This 440-nucleotide ribosomal RNA is filed under the name uncultured bacterium. RNAcentral describes it as "partial 16S ribosomal RNA". It matches the Rfam family "Bacterial small subunit ribosomal RNA", at positions 338 to 795 of the family's 1533-position model. The record is from RNAcentral.